AGGAGGCAACCUUCCCACGGGGGGGGGGGGGGGGGGGUCCUUCGGCUCACAAAUGAUCCGGACGGGUGGAAUAAUAAUAAUAACAACGUGUGAGUGUGUACGCUGGCAGGCCACGUGAUGUGUGUGAUGUGUACGUACGAUGAAAAUUAUUUUGCGGCGAGGGGAAGGACAAGGAACUUUAACACAAAAAUCAGUUGUAAAGAAAUGAGUUUGGUCAAUCUCGAUGAUGAUUUAAAAGCGCGCAGCUUCCGGUGGCUUCCUACUAUCGGACGGUGAAGAGAGCGUUCCAGACGGCCGCAGAAGCAGCGCAGUCUGAAAGUGCCGCUUGGUGAACUCCGUCUCUUCUCGAUGGCCUGCCAAUCGCUGCAGCUGCCACUGCUACAGCUGAUCCUUCUGCUACUGCUACUCCUACAGCUGAUGCUACUUCUGCAGCUGCUACUACGACUACUGCUGCUACUCCUACAGCUGAUGCUUCUGCUACUUCUGCUACUACUACUGCUGCUACUCCUACAGCGGAUGCUUCUACUUCUGCAGUUGCAACUACUACUACUGCUGCUACUCCUACAGCUGAUGCUUCUGCAGCUGCUACUACUACUGCUGCUACUCCUACAGCUGAUGCUUCUGCUACUUCUGCAGCAGCUGCUGCUACUCCUACAGCUGAUGCUCAUGCUACUUCUGCAGCAGCUGCUGCUACUACUACUGCUGCUACUCCUACAGCUGAUGCUCAUGCUACUUCUGCAGCAGCUGCUGCUACUACUACUGCUGCUACUCCUACAGCUGAUGCUCAUGCUACUUCUGCAGCAGCUGCUGCUGCUGCUACUUCUGCUGCUACUCCUACAGCUGAUGCUUCUGCUACUUCUGCAGCUGAUGCUACUACUACUACUGCUGCUACUCCUACAGCUGAUGCUUCUGCUACCUUUCUGCAGCUGCUGCUGCUACUACUGCUGCUACUACACCUGCAGCUGCAGCAUAGGCAGCAGCUGCUGCUGCCUAUGCUGCUACUCCUGCGGCUGCGAGGAUGAUGAACCGGAGUUCACGCGUGCGGCGACCACAUGCCGCCGCAGUUGGCGCCGUAGCGCUUGGCCGUGGGCCUGGACAGACGGGGGCGUCUCCUCUCGCGUCUCGCCCGCCUGGCACUCGGGACGCUUAGCCCCAUGGCGCUCUCGGCAUCGCUUUUCGCGGUGUUCACACGCGUCGGCCUGUCCAAAAAGGUGUUCACGCGGCGGGCGGUCUCGAAAGGGGUCCAUGCGUCGGUUCCCCAAAGGUGUUCACGUGUUCUAAACAUGUCCACGCGUCGGUCAGUUCUAAAGGUGUUCACGUGUUCUAAACAUGUCCACGCGUCGGUCAGUUAUAAAGGUGUUCACGUGUUCUAAACAUGUCCACGCGUCGGUCAGUUCUAAAGGUGUUCACGCGUCAGUCCUAAAGGUGUUCACGUGUUCUAAACAUGUCCACGCGUCGGUCAGUUCUAAAGGUGUUCACAUCUCAGUUAUAAAGGUGUUCACGUGUUCUAAACAUGUCCACGCGUCGGUCAGUUCUAAAGGUGUUCACGUCUCAGCUCCGAAAGUGUUCACGUCUCAGUUCUAAAGGUGUUCACUUCUCAGUUCUAAAGGUGUUCACGUCUCAGUUCCAAAAGUGUUCACGUGCCAGUUCUAAAGGUGUUCACGUCUCAGCUCCAAAGGUGUUCACGUCUCAGUUCUAAAGGUGUUCGUCUCAGUUCUAAAGGUGUUCACGCGUCCAUUCUAAAAGUGUCCACGUCUCAGUUCUCAAGGUGUUCAAAUCUAAGUUCUAAAGGUGUUCAUGCGUCGGUUCCAAAAGUGUUCACGUCUCAGUUCCAAAAGUGUUCACGUCUAAGUUCUAAAGGUGUUCACGUGUUCGUUCCAAAAGUGUUCACGUGUCCGUUCCAAACGUGCCCACGUCUCCGUUCUAAAGGUGUUCACGUGUCAGUUCUAAAGGUGUUCACGUGUCAGUUCUAAAGGUGUUCAUGCAUCAGUUCCAAAAGUGUUCACGUGUCAGUUCUAAAGGUGUUCACGUGUCAGUUCUAAAUGUGUUCACGUCUCGGUUCCAAAGGUGUUCACGUCUAAGUUCUAAAUGUGUUCACGUGUCGGUUCUAAAGGUGUUCACGUGUCAGUUCUAAAUGUGUUCACGUGUCAGUUCCAAAGGUGUUCACGUGCCAGUUCGAAAACUGCCUAAACCCUCCGGCCCACGUGGUCCUGGUGCAGUUGCACCGCCUGCAAACUCAACAGCGAUACUGACGACGACGAUGAUGAUGAUGUAACAACCCUCUGUAGUUAGGCCUACGGGGUCCUCUAUGUAAGUCUAUUGGGGGGGGCCUCCGACCCGGUGAGUCUCUGCGUGUAAAGUCUUCGGGUCUCUCUCUCUGUGCAGUUGCACCGCCUGCACACUUGAUAGCUACGCUUACCGAUGCAAGCGUCGGCGGGUGUCAUCCGCAUUGAUCGCACGGGUUACGCUUGGCCCAAUCCGCAGACCACCACAUUUAAUUGCGCAACGCAGAACCGUGUCCAAGCGAAGAUGUGACGUUGGGCCAACGUUGCGUUAACGUCGGGCCAACGUUGGGCCAACGUUGGAUUAACGUUGGGCCAACGUCGGGCGAACGUUGGGCUAACGUUGGGCCAACGUUGGGCUAACGUUGGGCCAACGUUGGAUUAACGUCGGGCGAACGUUGGGCUAACAUUGGAUUAACGUUGGGCUAACGUUGGGCCAACGUUGGCCUAACAUUGGAGCCAACAACUGUUCCUCGUUUACUCGGUCGCAACCCAGCCGCGGUCACCCACUGCCACCGACAUAAACACUGUAGCAUAUUGUAUCGUAUUGUAUGAUAAAGGCCUAUAAGUAACAUAGUAAUAAUAAUAACAACAACAAUGUACAAACCUUUAUCCAUCUUCGCUGCUGGAUUGAGAUCUUCCCCCGUGGCUCUGUCGGUCCUUUUGGGGGGGUAGGUAGGUAGGUGGGGGGGGGGGGGUGUUUAACCAUACUUCACCACCUAUGGCUGCUCAUCAUCGGGCAUCCCCUUGGUUUUAACGGUUCGUUUACCGCUCGCCACCGUUGUUGGCCCUGGUCGCGAAUUGUCGGACCAAACGUCGGGUCUCUUGCGCAGUGCGCUACAUCAUCCCCCCCCCCCAGUCCCGUCCCCUACAUUGUUAUUGUGUACUUGGUGUAAAAUAAUCGCGUCGUGAACGUUGAUAAUUAACCAAUCGCUGCUUCCAAGCUAGAGUCGAACUUCCCCCGGGGGUGGUAGUGGUGGUGGUGGGGACGUUUUAUAACCUUUGGAUGACCAACGCGAGAGGUCAAGCGGCGGUGUGGAGCGAUGCUGUCUGUACAUUUAACUUUGGCAUUCGUGGUGGCACAAAUGCUGCUGCUAUAUACGAUGGCUGUGAGUUUUUUUGUUUGGGGGGGGGGGGGGUGGAACCAUAUAUGUAAAGUUACACGCUAAUUUAAAGAAAAAAUAAAUUAAGACUCACGGUUUGGUUUUUUUUGCUAAAGGUGGGGGGGGGGAAAUAUAUAUAUAAAAGUUGUGCAGACGAAUGUAUAUGGAUAGGUUAUAAGAUAUGAGCAUCGUCUUUCGCAAAUGGAUCUUUUGCAGAUAUUUGGUUCUUUGAACAUCGCUAAAAUAAAUAAACAGACGGACAAAAAGAAAA
Molecule: non-coding RNA, 3656 nt
Organism: Petromyzon marinus (sea lamprey)
Lineage: Eukaryota; Metazoa; Chordata; Hyperoartia; Petromyzontiformes; Petromyzontidae
Source: RefSeq, a predicted model, not a curated record